This 252-nucleotide ribosomal RNA is filed under the name uncultured bacterium. RNAcentral describes it as "partial 16S ribosomal RNA". It matches the Rfam family "Bacterial small subunit ribosomal RNA", at positions 524 to 776 of the family's 1533-position model. The record is from RNAcentral.
UACAGAGGGUGCAAGCGUUAAUCGGAAUUACUGGGCGUAAAGCGUGCGCAGACGGUUGCGUAAGUCAGAUGUGAAAGCCCCGGGCUCAACCUGGGGAAUUGCAUUUGAGACUGCGUAGCUAGGGUGCGGAAGAGGGAAGCGGAAUUUCCGGUGUAGCGGUGAAUGCGUAGAUAUCGGAAGGAACACCAGUGGCGAAAGCGGCUUCCUGGUCCAGCACCGACGUCAGGCACGAAAGCGUGGGGAGCAAACAGG